Molecule: ribosomal RNA, 423 nt
Filed under: uncultured bacterium
Lineage: Bacteria
Description: bacterial SSU rRNA
Rfam family: Bacterial small subunit ribosomal RNA
Source: RNAcentral
UAGGGAAUCUUCCGCAAUGGACGAAAGUCUGACGGAGCAACGCCGCGUGAGUGAGGAAGGUCUUCGGAUCAUAAAACUCUGUUGUCAGGGAAGAACCGCCGGGAUGACCUCCCGGUCUGACGGUACCUGACGAGAAAGCCCCGGCUAACUACGUGCCAGCAGCCGCGGUAAUACGUAGGGGGCAAGCGUUGUCCGGAAUUAUUGGGCGUAAAGCGCGCGCAGGCGGCUUCUUAAGUCAGGUGUGAAAGCCCACGGCUCAACCGUGGAGGGCCAUCUGAAACUGGGGAGCUUGAGUGCAGGAGAGGAGAGCGGAAUUCCACGUGUAGCGGUGAAAUGCGUAGAGAUGUGGAGGAACACCAGUGGCGAAGGCGGCUCUCUGGCCUGUAACUGACGCUGAGGCGCGAAAGCGUGGGGAGCAAACAG